Streptomyces sp. Ncost-T10-10d is the source of this 68-nucleotide small RNA. It matches the Rfam family "ASdes TB sRNA". The record is from Rfam. NCBI's taxonomy places the organism in Bacteria, Bacillati, Actinomycetota, Actinomycetes, Kitasatosporales, Streptomycetaceae.
AGCUUGUCCGGGUCGACGGCGCGCGAGGUGAGCAGGUAAUCACGCAUCACGAUGCCGUGCCGCCCCUC